Canis lupus familiaris (dog) is the source of this 628-nucleotide long non-coding RNA. RefSeq lists it as uncharacterized. The record is from RefSeq and is a predicted model, not a curated record. The transcript is spliced from 3 exons. NCBI's taxonomy places the organism in Eukaryota, Metazoa, Chordata, Mammalia, Carnivora, Canidae.
UUUCUGCCCUUUCUGCCCCUUGCUUUCCAGAAUUGUCUCCUUACAUCCAGUAAAUAAGAUGUCAGCCUAAAAACCAUAGGACAUGGGAAGCUAACUGCCAUUUUUUCCUUCAAGGAGCAGGCUUCCCUCUAGACUAUCCCUACUCUCCCUGCUCUUGUGUGCUCCCCAGAGCAUUUGGAUAGUCAUUCUAUGUUCUACUUAGUGCUGAUAAUGUUCAUCGCUGGGAGUAAGAGACAGAUGCUGCUACACUUCCUGAGGUGGUGUUUGCAUUCCAAGAAAAGAAAGGACAGCAAAUGAAAGUACAGGGGUUGUGCCAGCUGAAUUGAUCCCAUUUUAUCAGAAAAACAAGGGCUCACAGGACAGCCACCCUCCUGGGCAACUCAACUUAGAUUUCAUUGGCAAGAAGUGGGUCAUAAUGCAAAGCAGUCUGGCACACUUUAGCCUUGGUCCUCCGCCUUCUGGAUAAAAAAAAUUCAAGCUACCCAGUGAUGGAAUCAUUCCUGCUUUCUGACAGCAACCAGUCCAGAGCAACUGUCCACUUUCUUAGAUUUUCUCCAAAACCACUCAGCAUGAACUUAAAUCCUUAAAAAAAAAAAAAAAAAAAGCCCCUCCUGAGAUGUUACCACCC